GCCUUUGUGGUGUAACGGUUAGCACACACGGCGCGUAUUCGUGAGGUCUAGGUUCGAGUCCCGGCGAAGGCA
Molecule: transfer RNA, 72 nt
Filed under: Stegodyphus mimosarum
Lineage: Eukaryota; Metazoa; Arthropoda; Arachnida; Araneae; Eresidae
Rfam family: tRNA
About the family: Transfer RNA (tRNA) molecules are approximately 80 nucleotides in length. Their secondary structure includes four short double-helical elements and three loops (D, anti-codon, and T loops).
Source: Rfam by way of RNAcentral